AUGAUUAUAGUUAAUGAAAUUAGAUUUCUUGAGAAUUCUUAAACUACAUUAAGGUAUAAGUCAGAUUCAACUGUAAGAAAUUAUAUUUCUUGAGAAUUCUUAAACUACAUUAAGGUAUAAGUCAGAAUUCUUAAAGUACAUUAAUAUCUGUUUAUUAAUUAUCUUAGAUAUUAUGCUAAAUUUAUAUAUUAAAAUAUAUUUUUAAUAAUAAUAAUAUUAAUUAAACUAAUGAAUUAUCUUAAAAUUAUGGAGAAAAUGACAAAUUAGCAAAUUCACUUCUUAAAUAAUGAUAUAUAUAUAUAUAUAUGGUCAUUAUUAUCUAUCAUCUUUAGGUGAAAAUUAAAAUAUUAUUACCAAUAAAAUAUUAUAUUUAAUAUUAUUAGUGAAUCUUAACAUUUUCAGUAGAUUUCAUAUUUUGACUUUCUUUUAUAAAAAAGACAAUCAGACUUCUCUUUUCAUUACUAUUGUACAAUAAAAAUAAACAAGAAAAUAUUUUUAAUUACAAUUAGCAAUGGAGAACACGUCUGUCAAACUUGUAUUCUUGCUCUCCCUCAUCAUACCGCUUUGUUCAUAUUUGGUUGAUGCAAGAGAGAUGACAGAAGUGAAUUGCCUCGGCGGCAAAUGUCCUGAAGGAAAGAAAAAUUGUAACUGUUUGUCACCGGUAACCCCUAUGGUGGAGACCAAUGUGGUUUGCCACAAAGAUGACGACUGCAAAAAGUACUGUCCUAAAGGCUGCAAGCCUAGUAAUCCAUGUGUCUGUACGUGUACUCAAUUAGGACAAUGUUUAUGUAAGUGUCAAGCGAUCCAAAACCACCGUAAUUAAAACUUUAAUAAGACAGAGGAGCAAUAGACAAUUCAAAUAUAUAUUUUUAAUAACAUUGUUUUUGUUUAAAUUAA
Molecule: long non-coding RNA, 897 nt
Organism: Brassica napus (rape)
Lineage: Eukaryota; Viridiplantae; Streptophyta; Magnoliopsida; Brassicales; Brassicaceae
Exons: 2
Source: RefSeq, a predicted model, not a curated record